GGGUUGUGAGGUUAAGCGACUAAGCGUACACGGUGGAUGCCCUGGCAGUCAGAGGCGAUGAAGGGCGUGCUAAUCUGCGAUAAGCGCCGGUAAGGUGAUAUGAACCGUUAUAACCGGCGAUACCCGAAUGGGGAAACCCAGUGUGACUCGUCACACUAUCAUUAACUGAAUCCAUAGGUUAAUGAGGCGAACCGGGGGAACUGAAACAUCUAAGUACCCCGAGGAAAAGAAAUCAACCGAGAUUCCCCCAGUAGCGGCGAGCGAACGGGGAGGAGCCCAGAGCCUGAAUCAGCAUGUGUGUUAGUGGAAGCGUCUGGAAAGGCGCGCGAUACAGGGUGACAGCCCCGUACACAAAAGCGCAUGUGCUGUGAGCUCGAUGAGUAGGGCGGGACACGUGGUAUCCUGUCUGAAUAUGGGGGACCAUCCUCCAAGGCUAAAUACUCCUGACUGACCGAUAGUGAACCAGUACCGUGAGGGAAAGGCGAAAAGAACCCCGGCGAGGGGAGUGAAAAAGAACCUGAAACCGUGUACGUACAAGCAGUGGGAGCACAGGUUUACCUGUGUGACUGCGUACCUUUUGUAUAAUGGGUCAGCGACUUAUAUUCUGUAGCAAGGUUAACCGAAUAGGGGAGCCGGAGGGAAACCGAGUCUUAAUUGGGCGUUAAGUUGCAGGGUAUAGACCCGAAACCCGGUGAUCUAGCCAUGGGCAGGUUGAAGGUUGGGUAACACUAACUGGAGGACCGAACCGACUAAUGUUGAAAAAUUAGCGGAUGACCUGUGGCUGGGGGUGAAAGGCCAAUCAAACCGGGAGAUAGCUGGUUCUCCCCGAAAGCUAUUUAGGUAGCGCCUCGUGAAUUCAUCUCCGGGGGUAGAGCACUGUUUCGGCUAGGGGGCCAUCCCGGCUUACCAACCCGAUGCAAACUGCGAAUACCGGAGAAUGUUAUCACGGGAGACACACGGCGGGUGCUAACGUCCGUCGUGAAGAGGGAAACAACCCAGACCGCCAGCUAAGGUCCCAAAGUCAUGGUUAAGUGGGAAACGAUGUGGGAAGGCCCAGACAGCCAGGAUGUUGGCUUAGAAGCAGCCAUCAUUUAAAGAAAGCGUAAUAGCUCACUGGUCGAGUCGGCCUGCGCGGAAGAUGUAACGGGGCUAAACCAUGCACCGAAGCUGCGGCAGCGACACUGUGUGUUGUUGGGUAGGGGAGCGUUCUGUAAGCCUGUGAAGGUGUGUCGUGAGGCAUGCUGGAGGUAUCAGAAGUGCGAAUGCUGACAUAAGUAACGAUAAAGCGGGUGAAAAGCCCGCUCGCCGGAAGACCAAGGGUUCCUGUCCAACGUUAAUCGGGGCAGGGUGAGUCGACCCCUAAGGCGAGGCCGAAAGGCGUAGUCGAUGGGAAACAGGUUAAUAUUCCUGUACUUGGUGUUACUGCGAAGGGGGACGGAGAAGGCUAUGUUGGCCGGGCGACGGUUGUCCCGGUUUAAGCGUGUAGGUGUGUGUUCCAGGUAAAUCCGGUUCACUUUAACACUGAGGCGUGAUGACGAGGCACUACGGUGCUGAAGCAACAAAUGCCCUGCUUCCAGGAAAAGCCUCUAAGCAUCAGGUAACAUCAAAUCGUACCCCAAACCGACACAGGUGGUCAGGUAGAGAAUACCAAGGCGCUUGAGAGAACUCGGGUGAAGGAACUAGGCAAAAUGGUGCCGUAACUUCGGGAGAAGGCACGCUGACACGUAGGUGAAGUGAUUUACUCAUGGAGCUGAAGUCAGUCGAAGAUACCAGCUGGCUGCAACUGUUUAUUAAAAACACAGCACUGUGCAAACACGAAAGUGGACGUAUACGGUGUGACGCCUGCCCGGUGCCGGAAGGUUAAUUGAUGGGGUCAGCGCAAGCGAAGCUCCUGAUCGAAGCCCCGGUAAACGGCGGCCGUAACUAUAACGGUCCUAAGGUAGCGAAAUUCCUUGUCGGGUAAGUUCCGACCUGCACGAAUGGCGUAAUGAUGGCCAGGCUGUCUCCACCCGAGACUCAGUGAAAUUGAACUCGCUGUGAAGAUGCAGUGUACCCGCGGCAAGACGGAAAGACCCCGUGAACCUUUACUAUAGCUUGACACUGAACAUUGAGCCUUGAUGUGUAGGAUAGGUGGGAGGCUUUGAAGCGUGGACGCCAGUCUGCGUGGAGCCGACCUUGAAAUACCACCCUUUAAUGUUUGAUGUUCUAACGUGGACCCGUAAUCCGGGUUGCGGACAGUGUCUGGUGGGUAGUUUGACUGGGGCGGUCUCCUCCUAAAGAGUAACGGAGGAGCACGAAGGUUGGCUAAUCCUGGUCGGACAUCAGGAGGUUAGUGCAAUGGCAUAAGCCAGCUUGACUGCGAGCGUGACGGCGCGAGCAGGUGCGAAAGCAGGUCAUAGUGAUCCGGUGGUUCUGAAUGGAAGGGCCAUCGCUCAACGGAUAAAAGGUACUCCGGGGAUAACAGGCUGAUACCGCCCAAGAGUUCAUAUCGACGGCGGUGUUUGGCACCUCGAUGUCGGCUCAUCACAUCCUGGGGCUGAAGUAGGUCCCAAGGGUAUGGCUGUUCGCCAUUUAAAGUGGUACGCGAGCUGGGUUUAGAACGUCGUGAGACAGUUCGGUCCCUAUCUGCCGUGGGCGCUGGAGAACUGAGGGGGCUGCUCCUAGUACGAGAGGACCGGAGUGGACGCAUCACUGGUGUUCGGGUUGUCAUGCCAAUGGCACUGCCCGGUAGCUAAAUGCGGAAGAGAUAAGUGCUGAAAGCAUCUAAGCACGAAACUUGCCCCGAGAUGAGUUCUCCCUGAGACUUAGAGUCUCCUGAAGGAACGUUGAAGACGACGACGUUGAUAGGCCGGGUGUGUAAGCGCAGCGAUGCGUUGAGCUAACCGGUACUAAUGAACCGUGAGGCUUAACCUUACAACGCCGAAGCUGUU
RNAcentral lists this ribosomal RNA (2930 nucleotides) under Salmonella enterica subsp. enterica serovar Newport. RNAcentral describes it as "bacterial LSU rRNA". It matches the Rfam family "Bacterial large subunit ribosomal RNA". The record is from RNAcentral. Lineage: Bacteria; Pseudomonadati; Pseudomonadota; Gammaproteobacteria; Enterobacterales; Enterobacteriaceae.